GACGAACGCUGGCGGCGUGCCUAAUACAUGCAAGUCGAACGAGAGCGACCGGUGCUUGCACUGGUCAAUCUAGUGGCGAACGGGUGAGUAACACGUGGGUAACCUGCCCAUCAGAGGGGGAUAACAUCCGGAAACGGAUGCUAAAACCGCAUAGGUCCUUUAACCGCAUGGUUGAAGGAGGAAAAGAGGCGCAAGCUUCUGCUGAUGGAUGGACCCGCGGUGCAUUAGCUAGUUGGUGAGGUAACGGCUCACCAAGGCCGUGAUGCAUAGCCGACCUGAGAGGGUGAUCGGCCACAUUGGGACUGAGACACGGCCCAAACUCCUACGGGAGGCAGCAGUAGGGAAUCUUCCGCAAUGGACGCAAGUCUGACGGAGCAACGCCGCGUGAGUGAAGAAGGUUUUCGGAU
Molecule: ribosomal RNA, 407 nt
Filed under: uncultured bacterium
Lineage: Bacteria
Description: bacterial SSU rRNA
Rfam family: Bacterial small subunit ribosomal RNA
Source: RNAcentral